RNAcentral lists this long non-coding RNA (1074 nucleotides) under Nicotiana tabacum (common tobacco). RNAcentral's name for it is "long non-coding RNA (NTAB_LNC015465)". Lineage: Eukaryota; Viridiplantae; Streptophyta; Magnoliopsida; Solanales; Solanaceae. The record is from RNAcentral.
CAUUGACAUUAAAAUCAGCAGAAAAUAUGGUGGAAAAUGCAAAGGAGACACUUAAAAGAUCAAGUAUAGUGCAAAGUUGGAUGCAAUCCCCAGUAGCCUUUACCAUUUCAAUUGGAAUGGUGCUGAUUUUCUUGUACCUAUGUGGUUGCUGCUGCAAAGGCAAAAAAAGAAAUGUGAAAAUGGUGAAUAAAGCUCCAGGUCGUAGGCAUAAUACAAGGAUAUCAAGGCACUACAGAUAAAAAUUUACUCUCGACAUUUACCACGGUAAAGUGAUAUGUAUUGUUAUAUAAGUUUUUAAUUAUACGUUAAAUUAUUUGAUUUGAUAUAAACACUCCGUGUGGAUAAGUGUUUAUAUGCUUUUGAGAACAUUCCUAAAUCUUAUUUCCGCAAUCUCAAUUCCAAGAAAAAUUAAUUUUGAUAUCCUGAAAUUUUCUCAAAGUAUUUUGAUUGAGCUUAAUGUUUUUUUCCUUGUGGUUAUUAGCCUGUUUGGCUAAGCUUCUAAAAUUAGUUUAUUUUGAGAUUUUUUUUUUUUAAAGUAUUUUUUUCAUAAGUACUUUUGGCAAGAAGCAGUUUGUGUUUGGCUAAUUAAUUUGAAAAACACUUAUGAGCGGUAAUUGGUGUUUGGCCAAGCCUUUAAAACUGCUUCUAAGUAUAUUUUUCUCAAAAGUGCUUUUUAAAAAAGUGUGUUUAGAGAUAAAUUAUUUUUUUCUGUUUCUCCAAAAUCGCUUCUGCUUCUACUCAAAAAUUCUUUUUUCCUUCUAAAAGUUUUACCAAACACUUCAACGUUGAAAAAAAAAAUAACACUUUAAAAAAAGUACUUUUUGGGGUUGGAAAAGCUUUGACCAAACAGGCUACAUGUAGCAUAAGCCAUAUCAUGUAUAUUUGAUUUUGGUAAGAGUAUGGCAUCUCAUGAGGCGAUUUGGCUAAGAGAACAUACGUAGUGUAUGUUACGUCGUGCAAUUAGUUUUGUGAUUGUGUAGAACAUUAAAGAGUUGCGCACAAUUUUAGCUAUGGCGUUUCUAAUUGGAUGAGAUUAUUAAGACACUUAGGAGUUGUUGUGUUGGCGAGUGAAGG